RNAcentral lists this long non-coding RNA (488 nucleotides) under Danio rerio (zebrafish). RNAcentral describes it as "lncRNA (ENSDARG00000117502.1)". Lineage: Eukaryota; Metazoa; Chordata; Actinopteri; Cypriniformes; Danionidae. The record is from RNAcentral.
AUUCAGUAGCCUACCAGUGAGUCGUUUGAAUGAUUCAAACGUGGUGCUCCAAAUGCACGUUGGACACUUCGGUUGUGGCUGUGUUUGGAAUAAUUUUCGCAACUUUAACUACAACAAAUAAACCGAAGGAUGCAAUUGACUGUAUGGCUGACAAUAUAUAUGAGAUCAACUUCUGGAACAUCUGGUGCUAUUUGGAAACAUCAUGAGGGAUUCAUUGGUUUUCCAAUGCAGUUGUCAUGCAGUUGACUUCAAGAAGGAUCAAGACAGGCCUACAGAUGGAUUGGAGGCUUUUCUUGACCUGCUUUGACAGACAGAUCUCAUCUUGUCGUCGCCCUCAGCUCUGUCCUGCUGACCCAAUGGCUCUUUCUUCUCGCCUCCAGGGUGAACGUGGACUUUUAAAUGUGCCAUAUCCUUGCCAGCAGCCAAAGUUAGUCUCAUAGACAUGAUGUCUUUGAGGGCAUGUGACCUGAAAUCACCUCCCCUGUCAU